RNAcentral lists this long non-coding RNA (423 nucleotides) under Setaria viridis. RNAcentral describes it as "long non-coding RNA (SVIR_LNC003184)". The record is from RNAcentral. Lineage: Eukaryota; Viridiplantae; Streptophyta; Magnoliopsida; Poales; Poaceae.
UGAAUUUAUAUCUGUUUGAAACUUUGACUGGUAGCAGUUAACAACAUUGGUACUGGUUAUGGAAUACACAAUGUAAUGGUUGAAAAUAAAUAGUGAAAGAGGCAAGUUUGAACACUUACACAUCAAGUUUGAACACUUACACAAACUCUAUUUAUGUAUUCCUUGAUGAUAGCAGCAGUAUGUUUUUUCUUGUAUUCCUUCCAAUGUGGAAAUAUAUUUUUUCUUGUAUUCCUUCCAAUGUGGAAAUAUGGGAACAUGGUUCCUGACUACAAUUUUGCACUUAGUUGCAAACUUUGCAGCAAUCAUCAUUGAGUUAGGCCUUUUCUUCCCUGGUUCAAUAACCAAAGGUAGUUUGCCUUUCCUCAAGAGCAAGUCAUCUGUUCAAGUUUUCUUCCAAUAUUAGGUCCCCUCAUCCAAUCCUCC